This 2278-nucleotide ribosomal RNA is filed under the name human gut metagenome. RNAcentral describes it as "bacterial LSU rRNA". It matches the Rfam family "Bacterial large subunit ribosomal RNA", at positions 1 to 2312 of the family's 2925-position model. The record is from RNAcentral.
UUAUGCUAAUAAGAGCGUAUGGUGGAUGCCUUGGCACUAAGAGCCGAUGAAAGACGUGAUAAGCUGCGAAAAGCUUCGGGGAGGAGCAAAUAUCCAUUGAUCCGGAGAUAUCUGAAUGGGGAAACCUACUUGAGAAAACCUCAAGUAUCCACAGCCCAAUCCAUAAGCUGUGGAAGGGAACCCGGUGAACUGAAACAUCUAAGUAGCCGGAGGAAGAGAAAACAACAUGUGAUUCCGUAAGUAGCGGCGAGCGAACGCGGAAGAGCCCAAACCGGAGUGCGUGCACUCCGGGGUUCGGACUGCAGGAUUGACGAGUGAGCCUAGUAGAAUGGUUUUGGGAAAGCCAGCCAGAGAGGGUGAAAGCCCCGUACACGAAAGGCAAGCGAGCAUGGCAGGAUCCAGAGUACCACGAGACACGUGAAACCUUGUGGGAAUGAGCGGGGACCACCCCGUAAGGCUAAAUACUCCUUAGUGACCGAUAGCGCAUAGUACUGUGAAGGAAAGGUGAAAAGGACCCCGGGAGGGGAGUGAAAGAGAACCUGAAACCCUGUGUUUACAAGCUGUGGAACAUCUUUAUAUGAUGAACCGCGUACUUUUUGUAGAACGGUCCGGCGAGUUACGCGUGCCGGCAAGGUUAAGCACUUAAGGUGUGGAGCCGAAGAGAAAUCGAGUCUGAACAGGGCGUUCAGUCAGCACGCGUAGACCCGAAACCGGGUGAUCUACCCAUGUCCAGGUUGAAGUUGCCGUAAAAGGCAAUGGAGGACCGAACGCACAUCCGUUGAAAAGGGUGGCGAUGAGGUGUGGGUAGGGGAGAAAUUCCAAUCGAACCCGGAGAUAGCUGGUUCUCCUCGAAAUAGCUUUAGGGCUAGCCUCAUUUUAGUCUUAUGGAGGUAGAGCACUGAAUUUCCGCGGGGGCGUCAAAGCUUACCAAAGAAUAUCAAACUCCGAAUGCCAUGUAGAUGAUGAAUGGGAGUCAGACUGCACGAGAUAAGUUGGGUGGUCAAAAGGGAAAGAGCCCAGACCUACAGCUAAGGUCCCAAAGUGCGUGUUAAGUGGAAAAGGAUGUGGGAUUUCAAAGACAACCAGGAUGUUGGCUCAGAAGCAGCCAUCCAUUCAAAGAGUGCGUAAUAGCUCACUGGUCGAGAGGUCCUGCGCCGAAAAUGUCCGGGGCUGAAACACGACACCGAAGCUUAGGAAUCACAUAGUGAUUGGUAGAGGAGCAUUCUUAAAACCGACGAAGCUGUACCGGAAGGAGCAGUGGAGGGAUAAGAAGAGAGAAUGCCGGAAUGAGUAGCGAGAGGAAGGUGGGAAUCCUUCCGGCCGAAUAUCUAAGGUUUCCAGAGUAAAGCUGAUCUGCUCUGGGUAAGUCGGGGCCUAAGGAGAGGUCGAAAGACGUAUCCGAUGGACAACAGGUUUAGAUUCCUGUACCACAUAUAAACAGAACUGUGGGGACGCAUGUGGAAAGCAUAAGCCGGGAAUGGAAAUACCGGUACAAACGGAAGAGGUGUCAGGCUGGCAAAUCCGCCUGGCAAGCCAAAGACGUGAUGUGGAGCGAAAUAAAAGUAGCGAAGUAUGUGAGCCAUGUGCCGAGAAAAGCCGCUAUUGUUUUAUAUGUGCCCGUACCGUAAACCGACACAGGUGGAUGAGGAGAGAAUCCUAAGGCCGACGGAAGAAGCAUUGUUAAGGAACUCGGCAAAAUGACCCCGUAACUUCGGGAGAAGGGGUGCCCACUUCAGGGUGGGCCGCAGAGAAUAGGCUCAAGCAACUGUUUAGCAAAAACACAGGUCUAUGCGAAACCGAAAGGUGAGGUAUAUGGGCUGACGCCUGCCCGGUGCUGGAAGGUUAAGAGGAGAGGUUAGCGCAAGCGAAGCUUUGAAUUUAAGCCCCAGUAAACGGCGGCCGUAACUAUAACGGUCCUAAGGUAGCGAAAUUCCUUGUCGGGUAAGUUCCGACCCGCACGAAAGGCGUAAUGAUUUGAGCGCUGUCUCGACAAUGCAUCCGGUGAAAUUGAAGUACCAGUGAAGAUGCUGGUUACCCGCGCCAGGACGGAAAGACCCCAUGGAGCUUUACUCCAGUUUGGUACUGGGAUUCGGUACUGCAUGUACAGGAUAGGUGGGAGACUGAGAAAUUGGAACGCCAGUUUCAAUGGAGUCACUGUUGGGAUACCACCCCUGCAGUAUUGGGUUUCUAACCAGCCGCUGUGAUCCAGCGGUGGGACAAUGCCAGGCGGGGAGUUUGACUGGGGCGGUCGCCUCCGAAAGGGUAUCGGAGGCGCUCA